RNAcentral lists this ribosomal RNA (253 nucleotides) under uncultured bacterium. Its description in RNAcentral is "partial 16S ribosomal RNA". It matches the Rfam family "Bacterial small subunit ribosomal RNA", at positions 524 to 776 of the family's 1533-position model. The record is from RNAcentral.
UACGGGGGGGGCAAGCGUUGUUCGGAAUUACUGGGCGUAAAGGGCUCGUAGGUGGCCAACUAAGUCAGACGUGAAAUCCCUCGGCUUAACCGGGGAACUGCAUCUGAUACUGGAUGGCUUGAGUUUGGGAGAGGGAUGCGGAAUUCCAGGUGUAGCGGUGAAAUGCGUAGAUAUCUGGAGGAACACCGGUGGCGAAGGCGGCAUCCUGGACCGACAUUGACGCUGAUGAGCGAAAGCUAGGGGAGCAAACGGG